RNAcentral lists this ribosomal RNA (378 nucleotides) under uncultured eukaryote. RNAcentral describes it as "SSU rRNA". It matches the Rfam family "Eukaryotic small subunit ribosomal RNA", at positions 567 to 974 of the family's 1831-position model. The record is from RNAcentral.
CCAGCAGCUGCGGUAAUUCCGGCUCCAAGAGUGUAUAUUAAAGUUGUUGCGGUUAAAAAGCUCGUAGUUGAACUUGUGAUAAUGAUUUAGAAUUGGGGGUAAAAUCUUAAAAGAUAAAAACGUUUCAUACUUUGGUUGUGGCAACACUUCCAUAGGUUACUUUGAAAAAAUUAGAGUGUUUAAAGCAAAAUUCAUACUUUGAAUAAUACAGCAUGGGAUAACAAAAAAUGACAGUGACUUAAAUUUGUUGGUUUCUUAGGCAACUGUAAUGAUUAAAAGGGACAGUUGGGGUCGCUCAUAUUAGAUGGGAAGGGGUGAAAUCCUAUGAUCCAUUUAAGAUGAACUAAUGCGAAAGCAUUCGACAAGGAUGUUUUCAUU